AUUGAACGCUGGCGGCAGGCCUAACACAUGCAAGUCGAGCGAGCGGCGGACGGGUGAGUAAUGUCUGGGAAACUGCCUGAUGGAGGGGGAUAACUACAGGAAACGGUAGCUAAUAACGCAUCCCAUUAGAUGUGCCCAGGUGGGAUUAGCUAGUAGGUGGGGUAAUGGCGCAGCUAGGCGACGAUCCCUAGCUGUGCUGAGAGGUGGACCAGCCACACUGGAACUGAGACACGGUACAGACUCCUACGUGAGGCAGCAGUGGGGAAUAUUGCACAAUGGGCGAAAGCCUGAUGCAGCCAUGCCGCGUGUAUGAAGAAGGCCUUCGGGUUGUAAAGUACUUUCAGCUAGGAGGCGUUACCCGCAGAAGAAGCACCGGCUAACUCCGUGCCAGCAGCCGCGGUAAUAC
This 406-nucleotide ribosomal RNA is filed under the name uncultured bacterium. RNAcentral's name for it is "partial 16S ribosomal RNA". It matches the Rfam family "Bacterial small subunit ribosomal RNA", at positions 30 to 526 of the family's 1533-position model. The record is from RNAcentral.